UACUUUUUCUCCCCAUUUUUGAAUUCAGUCCUAGUUUCUCUAUCCUAAAUUCCUACGCCUCUCGCCUUCAUCCCGCAUUCUCACCUCUGCCGCCGUCUGCGCUCCCUUUGUAGCCCCUGCCGCUAUCUUACACUCUCGCCUCUGCCGGGCGCCGCCUCAGCGUCGCGUCGGCAGCCGGAGAUUCCGAAACCGAACAGUCAUCGUUCACCUUCUUCUCCGAAGAUCCGAAAUCCGCUGGCGGCAUGCAUAGUGGAAUAGUGAGCUUUCAACUAUUGAAGUAAUCCCAAAACCAAACAUCUCAUCCGCUCCGAGCCUCCGAAGAUUCCAUCUCGGAAUUAAGAGAUGUCUCAAAACUUUCUGUUGGAUGCAGCCAAAAAGUAUUUCACUGCAGGCAUAGUUGGCCUCACGAUUUCCGACCGAUAUGCUAGUUUUACAGCUGUUCGUGGUCCAUCCAUGUCUCCGACUUUCAAUCCCCAUAUUAACAGCUCGACCAGAUCUUCAUUUGAUGACUACGUAUUGGUUGAGAAAUUCUGCCUUGACAAGUACAAGUUCUCACGUGGCGAUGUCGUAAUUUUUCGUUCCCCAAGUGAUUAUAAGGAGAAACACAUAAAAAGAAUCGUUGGCUUGCCAGGUGACUGGAUUGAUCUCCCUUCACUUGAUGACACUGUGAGGAUUCCUGUAGGGCAUUGUUGGGUUGUUGGGGAUAACUCAGCUUGUAGCCUUGACUCCAGAUCUUUUGGCCCGAUUCCUCUCGGUUUGAUUUGUGGGCGCGUGACGCAUAUUAUCUGGCCACCUCACAGAAUUGGUGGAGUUAACAAGAAAACCAAUGCGUUUGCCUGAUGGGAGUUUAUGUUUCGGAAUAACGUGACACUAAUUUUCUCUUUAAGUUGUUUAUUUUAGAAGAGAGCCAUUGCCGACUCAACCUGCUACGAGCAAGAAAGAGUCGGUGAAUGCUGCAUCUUCUUAAGGCAAUUCAGUUACUUGAAUCUCACCCUUCCCCAUUAGCACCACAACCCUGAUUUUGUGGCUGUGCAAGUUAGAAGGCAUAGCUGGUGUAUUUGGUGGCUCCCUAUUCAGUGCUAUGCAUGGUUCCUUGAUAACUUCUAGUUUGAUCAGGGAAACUACAGAAAAAGAAUCAGCUAAUGAAGAUUGUAGAUUCGGACAAGAGGAAGAAACUUGGGUAUAGAGAUGAAAAUAUAUACUACCGCUACAAACAACAAGCAAGAGCUUUCAAUUCGAUCAGACAGUUCUAUCUUAGAGUUAUAAAUACUUUAUUUUGUUUAUAUUAUGUUUAUAUUGUGAAAUGUGCCCUUACUACUUACACUUUACACUAAAAAAAUCUUCAAUUGAAAUAAAGCUCCUCAAGGAUAGAAACCUCAUGUUUUACCGGA
This is an RNA transcript of Salvia miltiorrhiza (redroot sage), 1391 nucleotides long. RefSeq lists it as uncharacterized. The record is from RefSeq and is a predicted model, not a curated record. The transcript has 5 exons. NCBI's taxonomy places the organism in Eukaryota, Viridiplantae, Streptophyta, Magnoliopsida, Lamiales, Lamiaceae.